RNAcentral lists this ribosomal RNA (252 nucleotides) under uncultured bacterium. Its description in RNAcentral is "partial 16S ribosomal RNA". It matches the Rfam family "Bacterial small subunit ribosomal RNA", at positions 524 to 776 of the family's 1533-position model. The record is from RNAcentral.
UACAGAGGUCUCAAGCGUUGUUCGGAUUCAUUGGGCGUAAAGGGUGCGUAGGCGGCGCGGUAAGUCGGGUGUGAAAUCUCGGAGCUAACUCCGAGCCUGCUUCCGAUACGGGCAGACUAGAGGUAGGUAGGGGAGAAUGGAAUUCCCGGUGUAGCGGUGAAAUGCGCAGAUAUCGGGAGGAACACCGGUGGCGAAGGCGGUUCUCUGGGCCUUACCUGACGCUGAGGAGCGAAAGCGUGGGGAGCGAACAGG